RNAcentral lists this ribosomal RNA (506 nucleotides) under uncultured bacterium. RNAcentral describes it as "partial 16S ribosomal RNA". It matches the Rfam family "Bacterial small subunit ribosomal RNA", at positions 29 to 523 of the family's 1533-position model. The record is from RNAcentral.
AGUGAACGCUGGCGGUAGGCCUAACACAUGCAAGUCGAACGGCAGCACAGGAGAGCUUGCUCUCUGGGUGGCGAGUGGCGGACGGGUGAGGAAUACAUCGGAAUCUACUCUGUCGUGGGGGAUAACGUAGGGAAACUUACGCUAAUACCGCAUACGACCUACGGGUAAAAGCGGGGGACCUUCGGGCCUUGCGCGAUUGAAUGAGCCGAUGUCGGAUUAGCUAGUUGGCGGGGUAAAGGCCCACCAAGGCGACGAUCCGUAGCUGGUCUGAGAGAAGGAUCAGACACACUGGAACUGAGACUCGGUCCAGACUCCUACGGGAGGCAGCAGUGGGGAAGAUUGGACAAGGGGCGCAAGCCUUAUCCAGCCAUACCGGGUGGGUGAAGAAGGCCUUCGGGUUGUAAAGCCCUUUUGUUGGGAAAGAAAUCCAGCUGGCUAAUACCCGGUUGGGAUGACGGUACCCAAAGAAUAAGCACCGGCUAACUUCGUGCCAGCCGCCGCAGUAA